GUACUCGCCAGGCUGGCCUGUGUGGCCGCCACCACGGGCACAGGGCGGUGCGGCCGGGCCACGGGAAGGGUGCGGGGCUCGCCCCGUCUCCGCAGGGGUGGACGAAAAACCAAGCAGCAACAGCCCUUGGAAAGAGGCUAAAUUUUUCUUGACUUCUGCAGCAACAAAGACCGUGAAAAGUUGGCACUUCUGGCCUAACGCUGCCGUCAUCCUACCCCUCACCCCAGGGCAACCCAGGCUGGACAUUUAGUGCCUCCCUCUUUAUUCCUCUGUGAUCAUCCAGAUCAGCACUUGACUGUUUAUUUUCAAAUCUCACGAACCUCACCCCAAGAUCUUCACAUUCUGGAUCUCAGCUGCUCUUGAAGGACAGUGACUUGUUACCACCGCAACAGCAGAGCCUGCCAU
Molecule: long non-coding RNA, 405 nt
Filed under: Homo sapiens (human)
Lineage: Eukaryota; Metazoa; Chordata; Mammalia; Primates; Hominidae
Description: non-protein coding lnc-CELF6-3:1
Source: RNAcentral